This 496-nucleotide ribosomal RNA is filed under the name uncultured bacterium. Its description in RNAcentral is "partial 16S ribosomal RNA". It matches the Rfam family "Bacterial small subunit ribosomal RNA", at positions 28 to 507 of the family's 1533-position model. The record is from RNAcentral.
GAUGAACGCUGGCGGCGUGCCUAAUACAUGCAAGUCGAGCGAACGGACGAGAAGCUUGCUUCUCUGAUGUUAGCGGCGGACGGGUGAGUAACACGUGGAUAACCUACCUAUAAGACUGGGAUAACUUCGGGAAACCGGAGCUAAUACCGGAUGAUAUUUUGAACCGCAUGGUUCAAAAGUGAAAGACGGUCUUGCUGUCACUUAUAGAUGGAUCCGCGCUGCAUUAGCUAGUUGGUAGGUAACGGCUUACCAAGGCAACGAUGCAUAGCCGACCUGAGAGGGUGAUCGGCCACACUGGAACUGAGACACGGUCCAGACUCCUACGGGAGGCAGCAGUAGGGAAUCUUCCGCAAUGGGCGAAAGCCUGACGGAGCAACGCCGCGUGAGUGAUGAGGGUCUUCGGAUCGUAAAACUCUGUUAUUAGGGAAGAACAUAUGUGUAAGUAACUGUGCACAUCUUGACGGUACCUAAUCAGAAAGCCACGGCUAACUACGUG